This 407-nucleotide ribosomal RNA is filed under the name uncultured bacterium. Its description in RNAcentral is "partial 16S ribosomal RNA". It matches the Rfam family "Bacterial small subunit ribosomal RNA", at positions 30 to 526 of the family's 1533-position model. The record is from RNAcentral.
AUUGAACGCUGGCGGCAGGCCUAACACAUGCAAGUCGAGCGGAGUGGCGGACGGGCGAGUAAUGCCUAGGUAUCUGCCCGGCAGCGGGGGAUAACGUCAGGAAACGGGCGCUAAUACCGUAUCCCAACAGAUUAGCCUAGGUCGGAUUGGCUAGUUGGUUGGGUAAAGGCCUACCAAGGCGACGAUCCUUAACUGGGUUGAGAGGAUGACCAGUCAGACUGGAACUGAGACACGGUCCAGACUCCUACGGGAGGCAGCAGUGGGGAAUAUUGCACAAUGGGCGAAAGCCUGAUCCAGCCAUGCCGCGUGUGUGAAGAAGGUCUUCGGAUUGUAAAGCACUUUAAGUUGGGAGGCGUUACCAACAGAAUAAGCACCGGCUAACUUCGUGCCAGCAGCCGCGGUAAUAC